RNAcentral lists this transfer RNA (63 nucleotides) under bovine gut metagenome. It matches the Rfam family "tRNA", at positions 6 to 65 of the family's 71-position model. From Rfam's summary of the family: Transfer RNA (tRNA) molecules are approximately 80 nucleotides in length. The record is from RNAcentral.
CUUAGCUCAGUUGGUAGAGCGACGGACUGUUAAUCCGUAUGCCGCAGGUUCAAGUCCUGCAGG